UCAGACGGWRGGGGWUAAGCUCYRUYGUCGAGAGGGAAACAGCCCAGACCRCCAGCUAAGGUCCCCAAAUGACUGCUAAGUGAUAAAGGAGGUGAGAGUGCACUGACAACCAGGAGGUUUGCCUAGAAGCAGCCACCCUUGAAAGAGUGCGUAAUAGCUCACUGGUCAAGCGCUCUUGCGCCGAAAAUGAACGGGGCUAAGCAGUCUACCGAAGCUGUGGAAUAUGAAUAAUAUUGGUAGGGGAGCGUUCCGCGACGGUGUGAAGCACUAGCGACAAGCAGGUGUGGACUGUGCGGAAGUGAGAAUGUCGGCUUGAGUAGCGCAAAUGUAGGUGAGAAUCCUACACCCCGAAACCCUAAGGGUUCCAGAGCCAGGCUCGUCCGCUCUGGGUGAGUCAGGUCCUAAGGCGAGGCCAAACGGCGUAGUCGAUGGAUAACGGGUUAAUAUUCCCGUACCGAUAAUUGUUGGUGCAGAGGGACGGAGAAGGCAAUCGCCAGCCGGAUGUUGGUUACCGGUUUAAGUAUUCGAGGUGUUGAGAGACGGUGAAAACGUCUUG
RNAcentral lists this ribosomal RNA (556 nucleotides) under Oscillatoria tenuis CCAP 1459/4. Its description in RNAcentral is "bacterial LSU rRNA". It matches the Rfam family "Bacterial large subunit ribosomal RNA", at positions 985 to 1550 of the family's 2925-position model. The record is from RNAcentral. Lineage: Bacteria; Bacillati; Cyanobacteriota; Cyanophyceae; Oscillatoriales; Oscillatoriaceae.